CGCAGCUUACCAUGCAGUCGAGCGGUAACAGGGGGUGCUUGCACCCCGCUGACGAGCGGCGGACGGGUGAGUAAUGCAUAGGAAUCUGCCCAGUAGUGGGGGAUAGCCCGGGGAAACCCGGAUUAAUACCGCAUACGCCCUUUGGGGGAAAGCAGGGGAUCUUCGGACCUUGCGCUAUUGGAUGAGCCUAUGUCGGAUUAGCUAGUUGGUGGGGUAAAGGCCUACCAAGGCGACGAUCCGUAGCUGGUCUGAGAGGAUGAUCAGCCACAUCGGGACUGAGACACGGCCCGAACUCCUACGGGAGGCAGCAGUGGGGAAUAUUGGACAAUGGGGGCAACCCUGAUCCAGCCAUGCCGCGUGUGUGAAGAAGGCUUUCGGGUUGUAAAGCACUUUCAGUGAGGAGGAAAACCUUCUGGUUAAUACCCAUGAGGCUUGACGUUACUCACAGAAGAAGCACCGGCUAACUCCGUGCCAGCAGCCGCGGUAAUACGGAGGGUGCAAGCGUUAAUCGGAAUUACUGGGCGUAAAGCGCGCGUAGGUGGUUUGAUAAGCGAGAUGUGAAAGCCCCGGGCUUAACCUGGGAACGGCAUUUCGAACUG
RNAcentral lists this ribosomal RNA (599 nucleotides) under Marinobacter sp. RNAcentral describes it as "bacterial SSU rRNA". It matches the Rfam family "Bacterial small subunit ribosomal RNA", at positions 45 to 635 of the family's 1533-position model. Lineage: Bacteria; Pseudomonadati; Pseudomonadota; Gammaproteobacteria; Pseudomonadales; Marinobacteraceae. The record is from RNAcentral.